GGGUCAGGAGGAGGAAGAGGAGGAGGAAGGAACUAUUGGCAGAAUUCCAGGUUCUGAGCUCCAGCCCCACGGAACUUUGGGAAUAAAAAUCAGGCUUGGGCUGUGCAGGUUCCAAGUCGCAGGGCCUCCAUGGCUGGCAAGCAUCAGGCCGGAAACUCUGCUGAAUAGAGCCCUAAAUGUUUUUUUGUUUGACAUUCAUGCUUAACAGAAAAUGAUGAAUCCAUUAGCAACCCCUUCUGUUGCCAAAAGAAACAGACUCGCGCUCGGCGAUUGCUUUCACCGUGCUAUCAAGCCACCACAUGCUCCACUCACAAAGCUGACAGCCAUCCAUCACUUUCAAACGGGCUUAGAGCUCUUGAGGUGAAUACCAAUAAUUAAUAGCGUGCCUCAAAGGAGAAAAAAGAACCAGCCGAUCAGCAUUGUAAAGAUGCUGUGUCCUACAGAACCGCAAAGUACAGCAGGUUUUCAAAGGGUCGUCCAAGAGAAUUGGGACAGACUAUAUUCCCAGCUAGCAGGGAAUCGCUUUUCUGUGUCCUGCAGGGAGAAAUCUUGUCCUUAGAAAUUUAAAGUUUCACCCGACAGAACCUCGGCCUCCAGGAGCCUCAAUUUAUCUGCUCUAGAGGAAGACCGCGGAAACACAAUCUGAAGGCACCAGACCCUUGUUUCCAUGGUGAGAUUUCCAAAGAGCGACAGAACAUUCAAUUCUGCCACUGCAGCUAUGGGGUGUGGGUAUAUUUAAGAACCUACCUUAUGUUAACACAAAGGCACACAAAGCACUGGUCGCUUCUGUAACUAGGAACAGGGUCAUCGUGGGAGGACAUUGUAGACACUUAGCUUGAAAGGUAUUGGGUUGGAUGCACCUGUCAAGCUCACUAAUGUGAAAAGUGAAGGGGUUGAUCCCGACAGUAUUCACAGUCUGUUUUAGGUGUGCAAAGUCUGUGGCCCUGAUUAACUCACUCGGUUUCACUACUGUGCCAGCUUCUUUCCAACUCUCAAACCAAUCCCUGUAUCACCAUGCAAUUAAGUAUUUCUUUCCAUAAAUUACAUAGUUUUAAUGAUUUGUUUGUUUUCCUUUUUUGUGUAUGAGUGUUUGCCUACAUGCACUCAUAUGCACCUGGUGCAUGACUGCUGCUCUCAGAGGCCAGAAGAGGGAGUAGGAUCCCCCCCCCCCAGAGUGGGAGUGACCAACAAUUGUGAGUUACC
Molecule: long non-coding RNA, 1203 nt
Organism: Acomys russatus (golden spiny mouse)
Lineage: Eukaryota; Metazoa; Chordata; Mammalia; Rodentia; Muridae
Exons: 3
Source: RefSeq, a predicted model, not a curated record